Molecule: ribosomal RNA, 495 nt
Filed under: uncultured bacterium
Lineage: Bacteria
Description: partial 16S ribosomal RNA
Rfam family: Bacterial small subunit ribosomal RNA
Source: RNAcentral
GACGAACGCUGGCGGCGUGCCUAAUACAUGCAAGUAGAACGCUGAAGGAGGAGCUUGCUUCUCUGGAUGAGUUGCGAACGGGUGAGUAACGCGUAGGUAACCUGCCUGGUAGUGGGGGAUAACUAUUGGAAACGAUAGCUAAUACCGCAUAAUAGCAGUUGUGGCAUGAUAACUGUUUGAAAGGUGCAAUUGCACCGCUACCAGAUGGACCUGCGUUGUAUUAGCUAGUUGGUGGGGUAACGGCUCACCAAGGCGACGAUACAUAGCCGACCUGAGAGGGGGAUCGGCCACACUGGGACUGAGACACGGCCCAGACUCCUACGGGAGGCAGCAGUAGGGAAUCUUCGGCAAUGGACGGAAGUCUGACCGAGCAACGCCGCGUGAGUGAAGAAGGUUUUCGGAUCGUAAAGCUCUGUUGUAAGAGAAGAACGAGUGUGAGAGUGGAAAGUUCACACUGUGACGGUAUCUUACCAGAAAGGGACGGCUAACUACGUG